Molecule: ribosomal RNA, 463 nt
Filed under: uncultured bacterium
Lineage: Bacteria
Description: partial 16S ribosomal RNA
Rfam family: Bacterial small subunit ribosomal RNA
Source: RNAcentral
GACGAACGCUGGCGGCGUGCUUAACACAUGCAAGUCGAACGGAAAGGCCCUGCUUGCAGGGUACUCGAGUGGCGAACGGGUGAGUAACACGUGGGUGAUCUGCCCUGCACUUCGGGAUAAGCCUGGGAAACUGGGUCUAAUACCGGAUAGGAGCCAUUUUUAGUGUGAUGGUUGGAAAGUUUUUUCGGUGUAGGAUGAGCUCGCGGCCUAUCAGCUUGUUGGUGGGGUAAUGGCCUACCAAGGCGGCGACGGGUAGCCGGCCUGAGAGGGUGGACGGCCACAUUGGGCCUGAGAUACGGCCCAGACUCCUACGGGAGGCAGCAGUGGGGAAUAUUGCACAAUGGGCGCAAGCCUGAUGCAGCGACGCCGCGUGGGGGAUGACGGCCUUCGGGUUGUAAACUCCUUUCGCUAGGGACGAAGCUUUUUGUGACGGUACCUAGAUAAGAAGCACCGGCUAACUACG